CACACACACACACACCAACCUGCUCUCUGGCUGUUCCAACGUGCGUGACUAACCACUUUGUUUUUUCUUUUCCUUCUUGUUGCUGUUUUCAGUUUUACAAGGUAUGUUGAAGCGUGGCCCAAUUUUCUGCUACGACCUCCAAGUUGUUGGGCUGCAGUCCAACAUCCAAGAGCUGGAACGCUUCUCGCACACGUGCACACGCCCAGGGCUCGUGCACACGCCCCAUUAUAAGGGUUCAUACUGUAUGUGUUUCAUAGAUGUGUACAGGUUUGAGGGAAAAGCUGUACUUGUACAGAAAGUGUUGGAUGUUUUUACAGACACUGAAGCUCAGAGGGGACAGUUUGUGACACAGUGUGGUGCCUGGUUUCACUCAUGAAUACCUGUAAACAGCUCAACACCUGCAGGAGCAUCUGAUUCACAAUGUGAACCACAACAUGUCUACAAAGGUCUUGGUUCUGUUUGAAGUGGAUGGGUUUGGUGGACCAGGUCUUGGUUCUGUUUGGACAGUGAGUGUCUGCAGCUGACUCCAGCUCCUCCUCACGAUGACAUCAUCCUUCAGAUUAGAUGAAGCUGUUGCUGCUUCAGAGUGAUGAAGAUGAGCUCCACCUGUUGUGGUCUGGACACCAGCUUUAGUCCCAGCUGCACCUCUAACCUGACCUACGACCCAACAACCUCUGAUCUCUCACCAGUUUAUGAACGCCAGGACCUGGAACAAACAAAACCAACCAGGGUGGCCCACGGGCCUGACCUGGACCCUGAACCUCACCACCCUUACAAACAGUUUUCUGACCCCCCACCACCCGCGCCCCCGCUCUGAAGGCGUGAGCACGGGGAGAGUGGAGCCGGGCCGGGCCGGGCCGGGUCCAGCCGGGCCGGCACUCCUGCAGUCCUAAGAGGUGAUGAGGCCCAUAAAUCUACAGUGAGGGGUGGUCUCUGAGGCUUCCCCAGUCUUGGCAGGACCCCCGGGCACAGAUUGGAAACAGACGUGUUUGGAGUUUUUCUCGGAGUUCCUACUGUUCAGCUGUGAUUUACAAGAGUGUGAGAUAUGGAAACCUCUCACGCAACUCCAGACACGGUCUGAGUGGAAGCACAUUGUGCAACAGACCACAGAGGACAGACCUGUCAGGUCCUGCUCCCCAGCCUGGACCAUGAGCCGAGACCUUCGUCUUCUGAGACCCCUGCAGUCAGAACCACAGAGACUGAGCUACACCUGUUCAUCCAUCGUGCUCUCAUGGCAUGACUCAUCAAAUUCUAACAUGACUCAGAUUACUCUAACGUUAUUCAGCUAGCAUGACUCAGAUACUCACUUCAGUUCACCUUUCAUGGUCCCCCCAAGGAGGGAAAUAUGAUUUGCAGCCAGGCAUUUCCAACACACAACACAACAUAUAACACACAGACAAUGUCGAAGCAUGGAGCAGCAAAUUAUAAAGUUAAAAAUAUAAAAACCUGAUUACUCUGGGUACAAAGGAGUUCCAGCAUCUGUUCCUUUUAAUCCUGGAGAGCCUAAAGCUCCGGCCAGAGAGAAGAAGCUGGAAGUCUGUGUUUGAAGGGUGUCUGAGCAGUGUUAGAUAGGCUUUGAUUUUUGGCCAAUACAACAAAUAAAAAUAUCGUUAAGGGGGGAUUGGGUUACCCCAAUUCUCUUGUUUGCCACAAUAACAAUUUUGUUUAAGCAGUUUUUGUUCUGAACACUUASAUUUCCAAACCAAGCAACUAUARAAAAAGUUAAAACAGA
Long non-coding RNA from Austrofundulus limnaeus, 1732 nucleotides. RefSeq lists it as uncharacterized. The transcript has 4 exons. The record is from RefSeq and is a predicted model, not a curated record. Lineage: Eukaryota; Metazoa; Chordata; Actinopteri; Cyprinodontiformes; Rivulidae.